GCCAGGCAUGGCGGCCCACGCCUGUAAUCCUAGCAGCUCGGGAGGCUGAGGCAGGAGGAUUGGGAGUUCAAAGCCAGUCUCAGCAAAAGCAAGGUGCUAAUAAGCAACUCAAUGAGACCCUGUCUCCA
This 128-nucleotide small RNA is filed under the name Marmota monax (woodchuck). The record is from RNAcentral. Lineage: Eukaryota; Metazoa; Chordata; Mammalia; Rodentia; Sciuridae.